GCAGUGGGGAAUAUUGCACAAUGGGCGCAAGCCUGAUGCAGCCAUGCCGCGUGUAUGAAGAAGGCCUUCGGGUUGUAAAGUACUUUCAGCAGUGAGGAAGGUGGUAGUGUUAAUAGCACUAUCAUUUGACGUUAGCUGCAGAAGAAGCACCGGCUAACUCCGUGCCAGCAGCCGCGGUAAUACGGAGGGUGCGAGCGUUAAUCGGAAUUACUGGGCGUAAAGCGCAUGCAGGUGGUUUGUUAAGUCAGAUGUGAAAGCCCGGGGCUCAACCUCGGAAUUGCAUUUGAAACUGGCAGACUAGAGUACUGUAGAGGGGGGUAGAAUUUCAGGUGUAGCGGUGAAAUGCGUAGAGAUCUGAAGGAAUACCGGUGGCGAAGGCGGCCCCCUGGACAGAUACUGACACUCAGAUGCGAAAGCGUGGGGAGCAAACAGGAUUAGAUACCCUGGUAGUCCACGCCGUAAACGAUGUCUACUUGGAGGUUGUGGCCUUGAGCCGUGGCUUUCGGAGCUAACGCGUUAAGUAGACCGCCUGGGGAGUACGGUCGCAAGAUUAAAACUCAAAUGAAUUGACGGGGGCCCGCACAAGCGGUGGAGCAUGUGGUUUAAUUCGAUGCAACGCGAAGAACCUUACCUACUCUUGACAUCCAUAGAACUUUCCAGAGAUGG
This 666-nucleotide ribosomal RNA is filed under the name Vibrio sp. RNAcentral's name for it is "bacterial SSU rRNA". It matches the Rfam family "Bacterial small subunit ribosomal RNA", at positions 351 to 1009 of the family's 1533-position model. Lineage: Bacteria; Pseudomonadati; Pseudomonadota; Gammaproteobacteria; Vibrionales; Vibrionaceae. The record is from RNAcentral.